RNAcentral lists this ribosomal RNA (1204 nucleotides) under metagenome. Its description in RNAcentral is "bacterial SSU rRNA". It matches the Rfam family "Bacterial small subunit ribosomal RNA", at positions 295 to 1520 of the family's 1533-position model. The record is from RNAcentral.
AGAGGGUGAUCGGCCACACUGGAACUGAGACACGGUCCAGACUCCUACGGGAGGCAGCAGUGGGGAAUAUUGCACAAUGGGCGAAAGCCUGAUGCAGCAACGCCGCGUGAGCGAUGAAGGCCUUCGGGUCGUAAAGCUCUGUCCUAAGGGAAGAAUAAAUGACGGUACCUUAGGAGGAAGCCCCGGCUAACUACGUGCCAGCAGCCGCGGUAAUACGUAGGGGGCGAGCGUUAUCCGGAAUCAUUGGGCGUAAAGGGUGCGUAGGCGGUUAUGCAAGUUAGGGGUGAAAGGCUACGGCUCAACCGUAGUAAGCCUUUAAAACUGCAUAACUUGAGUGCAGGAGAGGAGAGUGGAAUUCCUAGUGUAGCGGUGAAAUGCGUAGAUAUUAGGAGGAACACCAGUGGCGAAGGCGACUCUCUGGACUGUAACUGACGCUGAGGCACGAAAUCGUGGGGAGCGAACAGGAUUAGAUACCCUGGUAGUCCACGCCGUAAACGAUGAGUGCUAGGUGUCGGGGGUCGAACCUCGGUGCCGCAGCUAACGCAUUAAGCACUCCGCCUGGGGAGUACGAUCGCAAGAUUGAAACUCAAAGGAAUUGACGGGGACCCGCACAAGCAGCGGAGCAUGUGGUUUAAUUCGAAGCUACGCGAAGAACCUUACCAAAACUUGACAUCCUCUGCAUUACCCUUAAUCGGGGAAAUCCCUUCGGGGACAGAGUGACAGGUGGUGCAUGGUCGUCGUCAGCUCGUGUCGUGAGAUGUUGGGUUAAGUCCCGCAACGAGCGCAACCCUUGUCUUUAGUUGCCAGCACAUAAUGGUGGGCACUCUAGAGAGACUGCCGGGGACAACUCGGAGGAAGGUGGGGAUGACGUCAAAUCAUCAUGCCCCUUAUGUUUUGGGCUACACACGUGCUACAAUGGCUGGUACAACGAGAAGCGAAAGAGUAAUCUGAAGCAAAUCUUAAAAGCCAGUCUCAGUUCGGAUUGUGGGCUGAAACUCGCCCACAUGAAGCUGGAGUUGCUAGUAAUCGUGAAUCAGAAUGUCGCGGUGAAUGCGUUCCCGGGUCUUGUACACACCGCCCGUCACACCAUGGAAGUUGGGGGCACCCGAAGUCGGCUAUCUAACCGCAAGGAGGAAGCUGCCGAAGGUGAAAUCAAUGACUAGGGUGAAGUCGGAACAAGGUAGCCGUAUCGAGGGUGCGGCUG